UGGGGAAUAUUGCACAAUGGGCGCAAGCCUGAUGCAGCCAUGCCGCGUGUGUGAAGAAGGCCUUCGGGUUGUAAAGCACUUUCAGCGGGGAGGAAGGCGAUAAGGUUAAUAACCUUGUCGAUUGACGUUACCCGCAGAAGAAGCACCGGCUAACUCCGUGCCAGCAGCCGCGGUAAUACGGAGGGUGCAAGCGUUAAUCGGAAUUACUGGGCGUAAAGCGCACGCAGGCGGUCUGACAAGUCGGAUGUGAAAUCCCCGGGCUUAACCUGGGAACUGCAUUCGAAACUGGCAGGCUAGAGUCUUGUAGAGGGGGGUAGAAUUCCAGGUGUAGCGGUGAAAUGCGUAGAGAUCUGGAGGAAUACCGGUGGCGAAGGCGGCCCCCUGGACAAAGACUGACGCUCAGGUGCGAAAGCGUGGGGAGCAAACAGG
RNAcentral lists this ribosomal RNA (429 nucleotides) under Chloroflexota bacterium. RNAcentral describes it as "Chloroflexi bacterium partial 16S ribosomal RNA". It matches the Rfam family "Bacterial small subunit ribosomal RNA", at positions 355 to 776 of the family's 1533-position model. The record is from RNAcentral. Lineage: Bacteria; Bacillati; Chloroflexota.